RNAcentral lists this long non-coding RNA (1931 nucleotides) under Oryza sativa (Asian cultivated rice). RNAcentral describes it as "long non-coding RNA (OSAT_LNC000993)". The record is from RNAcentral. Lineage: Eukaryota; Viridiplantae; Streptophyta; Magnoliopsida; Poales; Poaceae.
AGAAUUCAGAGCAGAAGUAGUAUGAAGCUUCUUGACACAUGCAUGCCAAAACAUGGCUCCGUUUGGAGAAGGCUUAGCAAUUAGCAUGUUUGAGGAUGUGCAAGAGGAGGUUUAUCCAGGACAAUCUAUAAAGGUAAGAGUGUUUGAAUUCUGUUUGCUAUCUAUGAUGUCGUGGGACAGUUUGCAGUAAAUUAUUCUUGUAGAUCCUUUUCUCUUGAAGUUCCCACAUAUUAACAUUAGAGAAGAUUACACCUCCUGGUUUGGUUCUCCUUUUCAGACUUGCUCAUCUAGUUUGGUUAAAUAAUCCUUAGAUCUAUCCUUAUGUUGGCUAAAGAUUAUGAUUUCAACUUUUUUUUUUGUUCCAAGAUUUCAACUCCAUUUAGGAAUGAUCUGUCACACACAAAUGUUUACUGUAAAUACUUGUGAUGAGUCGCAUUUGGAGUCAUUUAGGAAUUGAUCUCUCUCGCAUACAAAUAUAUUCCUAAAACCAGAUGCAUCUAAGAACCUUAGCUCUUGAAAGGAACCCAUUAAACAUGUCGGUGGGAGCCUUGCUAGGUAAAAAUCUGUCCAAAUUCGUAAUGCUAGGUAGUAGUAGCAAGCAUGACGGCCGUUGUUACAUUAUUGCAAUUUCAAGUUGCUACAGUUCAAUCUCUCAUAAAAAGUUGCCACAGUUCAAAAAGAGGAGCGCUGUACUUCAAUUUUCUACUACUACAACAUGUUUUUGCAUGCUAUGUUUUCUGAUCCUUGGAUUACAUGCUCUCAGUAAUCCAACACAGCUUUUUUUUUUAAACAAUUGAACAUAAGCAUCAGUUAAUUCGAUUACUUAGCUCAAUACACCUGAUGAAACAAGAAACAAAACUAAAUGAUCUCAAUCAACAGCAUCCUUUCUGUUCACAAAAUCAUACAGAACAUUAUUACGGAGUCUAUACAUGUACUACAAGAAGGGAAGUCAUAUAAUUCAAUUGAAUUUCUGGUUGCUAUAACAUACAAAAGGUGCAACUGUAAUUAUCUAGUUUGCAGUAACUAAGUUCACCAAAAUGCUGUGGCCAGUAUAUAUACCAAAAAAGAAAUACAUUUUGGCCUUCUUUUAACAUACAACACACACACACAUAUCAGCUUUCCUCAGCGUGACAUCUUCUCUUCUAUGCAACCGUGGAACUGAAUGAACAAAUGAUCUGUUGCAGUGCACACCAUGGAACCUGACAACUUGAAGCUCACCGAAUUUCUUGGUUUCACUCAUCAUGCAUAAGCCAGCAAAGUAGCCAACACAAUCGAAAAUACCAAAACCGAGAGUGUCAAUGGUUGUUUUGUCAGAGGACUUGCAUUAGGCAACCAUGGAUAUGCAUCCGGAGGUGGCAUGACACAAUUAUCACCAUUGAAGUACACGCGGUGUGGGAAGGCCCAUCCCUUGUCAAAGGUGAAGUCCUUGGAAUCCUUACGCAGAAGAAGUUCUGACUGUGCAUUUCCAAGUGGACCAGCUUGCAUGAGCAAAUCGUUAUAGAACUUAACUCCCCAGAACAUCGCAGUAUCAUCUAAAAUAGAAGGAAUAAACUUCAUCAGAGAAAGAGAGAGAGAGAGAGAGAUAAAGGAACGUAUUACAAGUGCACUCCAAUUUUCUUAAAUAAAGGAGAACAGUUUGUAAAUUGACUUACUUAUCUUGCUUCCAUAUGGAGUAAGUGGCUUGUAGUUGAAGCUAAACAGCUGGGUGAUAUUAUUGAAGUUAGGAUGUUGAGCGACCAAAUUCCACUGUGUGUAAUUCAUGCGGUAGUUGAAGUUCGUAAUCGUGAUCUUCACUCUCCAAUAUUCCUUAUAGUUGAGUUUCACAUGCCAGUGGAUUCUGAUCGGGCACAUGUGAGAAGUACAUUGGACAAGAGGCUGACCGGUCCAUUUGCCAGGGCCAUCAAUGGCAGAUUGUAAAUAAGGUGAAUUCU